GGCUGCUGUGCUGUGAUGUUGCAGUGGCUGCUUGGGUACUCACUUGAAGGGGAGAUGGUGGGAUGGGACUUUUAUUAAUUAGAUGGAGUGAAUUUUCCAUAAUGCCCCUACUUUUUCUCAUAGGUUUUUUUCGGACAAAUUCUUUUCUUUACCUUGACCAUGAAGUGCCAUGGGAUAACCCUUUCCUACUCUGCUCUUGCUUGACAUGGUAAACAGUACUGCCAAGCAUUAUCUCAAUUAUUUAAUCAGUUUUAU
Molecule: long non-coding RNA, 255 nt
Filed under: Phoenix dactylifera (date palm)
Lineage: Eukaryota; Viridiplantae; Streptophyta; Magnoliopsida; Arecales; Arecaceae
Description: long non-coding RNA (PDAC_LNC019764)
Source: RNAcentral